RNAcentral lists this ribosomal RNA (460 nucleotides) under uncultured bacterium. RNAcentral's name for it is "partial 16S ribosomal RNA". It matches the Rfam family "Bacterial small subunit ribosomal RNA", at positions 338 to 795 of the family's 1533-position model. The record is from RNAcentral.
CCUACGGGCGGCAGCAGUGAGGAAUAUUGGUCAAUGGCCGGAAGGCUGAACCAGCCAAGUCGCGUGCGGGACGACUGCUCUAUGGGUUGUAAACCUCUUUUAUACGAGGAUAAACAAUGCUACGCGUAGCUUGCUGCCUGUAUCUUAUGAAUAAGCAUCGGCUAACUCCGUGCCAGCAGCCGCGGUAAUACGGAGGAUUCAAGCGUUCUCCGGAUUUAUUGGGUUUAAAGGGUGCGUAGGCGGUCUUUUAAGUUAGUUGUUAAAUCGCGAGGCUCAACCUCGGAAUUGCCUUUGAUACUGUUAGGCUAGAGAGCAGAUGAGGUAGGCGGAAUGUAUGGAGUAGCGGUGAAAUGCUUAGAGAUAACACAGAACACCGAUUGCGAAGGCAGCUUACCAAGCUGCUACUGACGUUGAGGCACGAAAGCGUGGGGAGCGAACAGGAUUAGAUACCCGGGUAGUC